AGGGCAGGUCAGUUGGUACAGGAGUCGGCGGAGGCAGAGUUGGGCUUAGCAGAAAGCCUGGAAGAUAAUGCUGGAAUGCAGAGGCACCGAGGAUGUGAUGCAGCAAGAAGGCCACUGUCUGCAAACCAGGAAGAGGGCUCUCACCAAGAACAGAAUCAGCCAGCACCUUGACCUUGGACUUCCAGCCUCCAGAACUGAUAUGAGGCCUACAAAUCCGGUGUGCUGCCAUCAGUUGGACAGGUCGGCCAAGUUAUGGCAUCAUGAUCCAAGGAGAAAGGACUCUGUCAGGAUCUGCUCCAGCUUGAAGAAUGGCCAAGGCCGUCAACUGGAACAGCGCAGCUGCUUGCCAGCCUCCAGCCCUGGCCUGGCCACUUCCUGGAAAGUCAAUUGUUGUUCUGUGCUACAGCCCAGAGAGUAUAAAAGGCUAUCAGACCCAGGCAGGUUUGGUCUGUAUCUCAAAGACU
This 464-nucleotide long non-coding RNA is filed under the name Equus caballus (horse). RNAcentral describes it as "lncRNA (ENSECAG00000056705.1)". Lineage: Eukaryota; Metazoa; Chordata; Mammalia; Perissodactyla; Equidae. The record is from RNAcentral.